AGGAAACAUGUUAAAUUCUUAAGUACGAGAAUAAAGCAAUUGAAUGAAAAAUUGCAUUUUCUUUAAAGGCAAUUCCUCUUCUGGCCCCAAGAGAUUACAAGGAAAGGGAAAGAUUGACACUGGCAAAUAUAGGGCUUCAGAAUUCAAUGAAUAUUUUCAUUGAUGUCACCAUUCCAGUCCUGAGUGGUAUUUCCUGAA
RNAcentral lists this long non-coding RNA (198 nucleotides) under Phascolarctos cinereus (koala). RNAcentral describes it as "lncRNA (ENSPCIG00000036537.1)". The record is from RNAcentral. Lineage: Eukaryota; Metazoa; Chordata; Mammalia; Diprotodontia; Phascolarctidae.